AAAUAAUAAUAAAAAAUCCCUUAUAAGAAAAAUAAUAAGCAAGGGGCUGUGGGCAUGUAGUGGGCAAAGGAGGUCACGCCCUCAUAAACCGUCGCUGGUUCUGUUUGCCCCUCCCAUCAACCACCUAUCUCUCUCUAUUGCUCUCUAUCUCUCUCUGUCCGAUCCUCUCCUCUCUCCCUCUCUCUUUCUCUCUCUCCCUCUCGCCGCCAUUGUUAUAGAGAUUCAAAGCAUGACCAGCUCCUC
RNAcentral lists this unclassified non-coding RNA (243 nucleotides) under Hevea brasiliensis (rubber tree). The record is from RNAcentral. Lineage: Eukaryota; Viridiplantae; Streptophyta; Magnoliopsida; Malpighiales; Euphorbiaceae.